RNAcentral lists this transfer RNA (73 nucleotides) under Mustela putorius furo (domestic ferret). It matches the Rfam family "tRNA". From Rfam's summary of the family: Transfer RNA (tRNA) molecules are approximately 80 nucleotides in length. The record is from Rfam by way of RNAcentral. Lineage: Eukaryota; Metazoa; Chordata; Mammalia; Carnivora; Mustelidae.
GCCUGGCUGGCUAAGUUAGCAGAGCACACAACUCUUGAUUUUCAGGUUAUGAGUUCAAGUCCCAUGUUGGGUG